GACGAACGCUGGCGGCGUGCUUAACACAUGCAAGUCGAACGGAAAGACCCUGCUUUUGUGGGGUGCUCGAGUGGCGAGCGGGUGAGUAACACGUGAGUAACCUGCCCUUGACUUUGGGAUAACUUCAGGAAACUGGGGCUAAUACCGGAUAGGAGCUCCUGCUGCAUGGUGGGGGUUGGAAAGUUUCGGCGGUUGGGGAUGGACUCGCGGCUUAUCAGCUUGUUGGUGGGGUAGUGGCUUACCAAGGCUUUGACGGGUAGCCGGCCUGAGAGGGUGACCGGCCACAUUGGGACUGAGAUACGGCCCAGACUCCUACGGGAGGCAGCAGUGGGGAAUAUUGCACAAUGGGCGGAAGCCUGAUGCAGCAACGCCGCGUGCGGGAUGACGGCCUUCGGGUUGUAAACCGCUUUCGCCUGUGACGAAGCGUGAGUGACGGUAAUGGGUAAAGAAGCACCGGCUAACUACGUG
RNAcentral lists this ribosomal RNA (468 nucleotides) under uncultured bacterium. Its description in RNAcentral is "partial 16S ribosomal RNA". It matches the Rfam family "Bacterial small subunit ribosomal RNA", at positions 28 to 507 of the family's 1533-position model. The record is from RNAcentral.